AAAUAAGUCGUUGUAGUAUAGUGGUAAGU
This 29-nucleotide small RNA is filed under the name Arabidopsis thaliana (thale cress). Its description in RNAcentral is "ATSL249560". The record is from RNAcentral. Lineage: Eukaryota; Viridiplantae; Streptophyta; Magnoliopsida; Brassicales; Brassicaceae.